CCUACGGGAGGCUGCAGUGAGGAAUAUUGGUCAAUGGACGCAAGUCUGAACCAGCCAUGCCGCGUGCAGGAAGACGGCUCUAUGAGUUGUAAACUGCUUUUGUACGAGGGUAAAUCCCGAUACGUGUAUCGGGUUGAAAGUAUCGUACGAAUAAGGAUCGGCUAACUCCGUGACAGCAGCCGCGGUAAUACGGAGGAUUCAAGCGUUAUCCGGAUUUAUUGGGGUUAAAGGGUGCGCAGGCGGAAGAUCAAGUCAGCGGUAAAAUUGAGAGGCUCAACCUCUUCGAGCCGUUGAGACUGGUUAUCUUGAGUGAGCGAGAAGUAUGCGGAAUGCGUGGUGUAGCGGUGAAAUGCAUAGAUAUCACGCAGAACUCCGAUUGCGAAGGCAGCAUACCGGCGCUCAACUGACGCUCAUGCACGAAAGUGUGGGUAUCGAACAGGAUUAGAUACCCUUGUAGUC
Molecule: ribosomal RNA, 459 nt
Filed under: uncultured bacterium
Lineage: Bacteria
Description: partial 16S ribosomal RNA
Rfam family: Bacterial small subunit ribosomal RNA
Source: RNAcentral